GACGAACGCUGGCGGCGUGCUUAACACAUGCAAGUCGAACGGAAAGGCCCUGCUUUUGUGGGGUGCUCGAGUGGCGAACGGGUGAGUAACACGUGAGUAACCUGCCCUUGACUUUGUGAUAACUUCAGGAAACUGGGGCUAAUACCGGAUAGGAGCUCCUGCUGCAUGGUGGGGGUUGGAAAGUUUCGGCGGUUGGGGAUGGACUCGCGGCUUAUCAGCUUGUUGGUGGGGUAGUGGCUUACCAAGGCUUUGACGGGUAGCCGGCCUGAGAGGGUGACCGGCCACAUUGGGACUGAGAUACGGCCCAGACUCCUACGGGAGGCAGCAGUGGGGAAUAUUGCACAAUGGGCGGAAGCCUGAUGCAGCAACGCCGCGUGCGGGAUGACGGCCUUCGGGUUGUAAACCGCUUUCGCCUGUGACGAAGCGUGAGUGACGGUAAUGGGUAAAGAAGCACCGGCUAACUACGUG
This 468-nucleotide ribosomal RNA is filed under the name uncultured bacterium. RNAcentral describes it as "partial 16S ribosomal RNA". It matches the Rfam family "Bacterial small subunit ribosomal RNA", at positions 28 to 507 of the family's 1533-position model. The record is from RNAcentral.